GAUGAACGCUGGCGGCGUGCCUAAUACAUGCAAGUCGAGCGAACGGACGAGAAGCUUGCUUUUCUGAUGUUAGCGGCGGACGGGUGAGUAACACGUGGAUAACCUACCUAUAAGACUGGGAUAACUUCGGGAAACCGGAGCUAAUACCGGAUAAUAUUUUGAACCGCAUGGUUCAAAAGUGAAAGACGGUCUUGCUGUCACUUAUAGAUGGAUCCGCGCUGCAUUAGCUAGUUGGUAAGGUAACGGCUUACCAAGGCAACGAUGCAUAGCCGACCUGAGAGAGUGAUCGGCCACACUGGAACUGAGACACGGUCCAGACUCCUACGGGAGGCAGCAGUAGGGAAUGUUCCGCAAUGGGCGAAAGCCUGACGGAGCAACGCCGCGUGAGUGAUGAAGGUCUUCGGAUCGUAAAACUCUGUUAUUAGGGAAGAACAUAUGUGUAAGUAACUGUGCACAUCUUGACGGUACCUAAUCAGAAAGCCACGGCUAACUACGUG
Molecule: ribosomal RNA, 497 nt
Filed under: uncultured bacterium
Lineage: Bacteria
Description: partial 16S ribosomal RNA
Rfam family: Bacterial small subunit ribosomal RNA
Source: RNAcentral